This 497-nucleotide ribosomal RNA is filed under the name uncultured bacterium. RNAcentral describes it as "partial 16S ribosomal RNA". It matches the Rfam family "Bacterial small subunit ribosomal RNA", at positions 28 to 507 of the family's 1533-position model. The record is from RNAcentral.
GAUGAACGCUGGCGGCGUGCCUAAUACAUGCAAGUCGAGCGAACAGAUGAGGAGCUUGCUCCUCUGACGUUAGCGGCGGACGGGUGAGUAACACGUGGAUAACCUACCUAUAAGACUGGGAUAACUUCGGGAAACCGGAGCUAAUACCGGAUAAUAUAUUGAACCGCAUGGUUCAAUAGUGAAAGACGGUUUUGCUGUCACUUAUAGAUGGAUCCGCGCCGCAUUAGCUAGUUGGUAAGGUAACGGCUUACCAAGGCAUCGAUGCGUAGCCGACCUGAGAGGGUGAUCGGCCACACUGGAACUGAGACACGGUCCAGACUCCUACGGGAGGCAGCAGUAGGGAAUCUUCCGCAAUGGGCGAAAGCUUGACGGAGCAACGCCGCGUGAGUGAUGAAGGUCUUCGGAUCGUAAAACUCUGUUAUUAGGGAAGAACAAAUGUGUAAGUAACUAUGCACGUCUUGACGGUACCUAAUCAGAAAGCCACGGCUAACUACGUG